UGCCCCUUUGAACUCUUGACUCCAAGCUCCUUGAGAAAGAAGCAUAUUGCUGGGAAUGAAAGAUCUCUAAUGAGACCAAAUGGCAGAACAAGAUUUCUCACCUCUAUAGCUCUGAGCUGGAGGGACCACCAAGUAUUUCCAGACAAGGAGGAACUGUCACCUCACAUUGCUUGUGAAUCACUGCACAUCUGGUCCUCCUGCCCUGGGACAAGAACUGCAGCAGGAAAAGUCAAUGAGGACUACAUGAAGCCAAAGACAGAAGCAGUAUCUACCAAGUAUAUGGAGAAGAGAAUCACCACCCCCCCCCAAAUCGGUCACCUCAAUCCUUCUGUAUCCUGCAAUAAAAUGGGGCACAAGCAAAUAAGAGCUUAUUUACUGCUGCAUAAAACUUUGGCUGAACAGUCAAGGAGAGGAAGUCUGCUUUCGAUUUCAACCAUCUGGAAACAUUACAUCUCAAAACUAAGAUCUUUCCAAUUUUCUUGUAGGAUAAGUAGCGUGUCUUCUCCUUAA
RNAcentral lists this long non-coding RNA (510 nucleotides) under Felis catus (domestic cat). RNAcentral describes it as "lncRNA (ENSFCAG00000051919.1)". Lineage: Eukaryota; Metazoa; Chordata; Mammalia; Carnivora; Felidae. The record is from RNAcentral.